This 446-nucleotide ribosomal RNA is filed under the name uncultured bacterium. RNAcentral's name for it is "partial 16S ribosomal RNA". It matches the Rfam family "Bacterial small subunit ribosomal RNA", at positions 338 to 795 of the family's 1533-position model. The record is from RNAcentral.
CCUACGGGAGGCAGUAGUCGAGAAUCAUUCACAAUGGGGGAAACCCUGAUGGUGCGACGCCGCGUGGGGGAAUGAAGGUCUUCGGAUUGUAAACCCCUGUCAUGUGGGAGCAAAUUAAAAAGAUAGUACCACAAGAGGAAGAGACGGCUAACUCUGUGCCAGCAGCCGCGGUCAUACAGAGGUCUCAAGCGUUGUUCGGAAUCACUGGGCGUAAAGCGUGCGUAGGCUGUUUCGUAAGUCGUGUGUGAAAGGCGCGGGCUCAACCCGCGGACGGCACAUGAUACUGCGAGACUAGAGUAAUGGAGGGGGAACCGGAAUUCUCGGUGUAGCAGUGAAAUGCGUAGAUAUCGAGAGGAACACUCGUGGCGAAGGCGGGUUCCUGGACAUUAACUGACGCUGAGGCACGAAGGCCAGGGGAGCGAAAGGGAUUAGAUACCCUUGUAGUC